UGGGGAAUAUUGCACAAUGGGCGCAAGCCUGAUGCAGCCAUGCCGCGUGUAUGAAGAAGGCCUUCGGGUUGUAAAGUACUUUCAGCGGGGAGGAAGGGAGUAAAGUUAAUACCUUUGCUCAUUGACGUUACCCGCAGAAGAAGCACCGGCUAACUCCGUGCCAGCAGCCGCGGUAAUACGGAGGGUGCAAGCGUUAAUCGGAAUUACUGGGCGUAAAGCGCACGCAGGCGGUUUGUUAAGUCAGAUGUGAAAUCCCCGGGCUCAACCUGGGAACUGCAUCUGAAACUGGCAAGCUUGAGUCUCGUAGAGGGGGGUAGAAUUCCAGGUGUAGCGGUGAAAUGCGUAGAGAUCUGGAGGAAUACCGGUGGCGAAGGCGGCCCCCUGGACGAAGACUGACGCUCAGGUGCGAAAGCGUGGGGAGCAAACAGG
RNAcentral lists this ribosomal RNA (429 nucleotides) under Chloroflexota bacterium. Its description in RNAcentral is "Chloroflexi bacterium partial 16S ribosomal RNA". It matches the Rfam family "Bacterial small subunit ribosomal RNA", at positions 355 to 776 of the family's 1533-position model. Lineage: Bacteria; Bacillati; Chloroflexota. The record is from RNAcentral.